AGNAGUAGGGAAUCUUCGGCAAUGGGGGCAACCCUGACCGAGCAACGCCGCGUGAGUGAAGAAGGUUUUCGGAUCGUAAAGCUCUGUUGUAAGUCAAGAACGGGUGUGAGAGUGGAAAGUUCACACUGUGACGGUAGCUUACCAGAAAGGGACGGCUAACUACGUGCCAGCAGCCGCGGUAAUACGUAGGUCCCGAGCGUUGUCCGGAUUUAUUGGGCGUAAAGCGAGCGCAGGCGGUUUGAUAAGUCUGAAGUUAAAGGCUGUGGCUCAACCAUAGUUCGCUUUGGAAACUGUCAAACUUGAGUGCAGAAGGGGAGAGUGGAAUUCCAUGUGUAGCGGUGAAAUGCGUAGAUAUAUGGAGGAACACCGGUGGCGAAAGCGGCUCUCUGGUCUGUAACUGACGCUGAGGCUCGAAAGCGUGGGGAGCGAACAGGAUUAGAUACCCUGGUAGUCCACGCCGUAAACGAUGAGUGCUAGGUGUUGGAUCCUUUCCGGGAUUCAGUGCCGCAGCUAACGCAUAAGCACUCCGCCUGGG
This 535-nucleotide ribosomal RNA is filed under the name Streptococcus thermophilus. RNAcentral describes it as "bacterial SSU rRNA". It matches the Rfam family "Bacterial small subunit ribosomal RNA", at positions 350 to 877 of the family's 1533-position model. The record is from RNAcentral. Lineage: Bacteria; Bacillati; Bacillota; Bacilli; Lactobacillales; Streptococcaceae.